Molecule: long non-coding RNA, 1970 nt
Filed under: Nicotiana tabacum (common tobacco)
Lineage: Eukaryota; Viridiplantae; Streptophyta; Magnoliopsida; Solanales; Solanaceae
Description: long non-coding RNA (NTAB_LNC010400)
Source: RNAcentral
GAGGAGGAAAAUCAUUUGAAUCCAAUACAUUUCAAGUCUAACAAGUUUCUUCAUUCCUUGAUCAUAUGGAAGUCUUCCAUAUGUGCCAAACGUACUUGCACAAGCUUAAAGAUCCAUUUGUGAACCGAAUUGGUGGGCUAGGUUGCAUUAGAUCAACUCCUCUUAUGCACCAGGAUAAGGAGCUACAUUUCACUAGAUCAACUUCUUAAAUUACACCAGCAUGAUACAAGUUUUGUGCAUGCUAUUAAUGCUUUUUUGAAAUCAGAUCUGAAAUUCAUACAUGAACAAGUAGCAUACUAAGUAUGACUAUAGUUCAGUGAAAUAUUGAUAAAAGAGUGACAAUUUGUUCACUAAAAGAGAAUUUGGCCAUAACAUUGAAGUUCCCAUGAUCCCUUCCGUUAGUUGCAUCAAUCCUUUUGUGCUUUAAUUAGGCUUGCAUGUCCAUGAUCUGCAGACAAAGUAUAUUGUCAUGAUCUUAACAGUGAAAAGCACUUUAAUCGAAAGAAAGCUUCCUCAAAAUUUUCGGUAUGAAUAUUAUCUAACAAAUGGAAACUUCACAAAUCAAAUACAUCAAGCUCAGCUUGCAUGACUUAAAUAUUAAUUGUUGCUUAGUAGCAAGCAGAUGCUUUACAUCCAUUGAACAUACUACAAUAUCAAUGAACUGCAACAUCACAAACAAAGUUUCUAGGUCAUGAAAACAUAUUUACUAUAAAAAAAAGCCAAUUUGAUGGAAGAGAAAAAUAAGAUUGAAUCUCAUCAAACAUAUGGAGAAUGAUCAAAAUAGCUAACCAACAAACUAAAAUUGAUAAGUAAAGGUAAUUUAUUAAUAAUAUCCUACUACCAAGAUGGUAUUAAGACAGUAUAAAAAUAAAGCUGAAUUAAUCCUUUCAUAUCAUACCACAAAAAGACAAAUACACAACAUAUUUACUAACUAUUCACUUAAGAAAAGCUAAAUUAAUCCUUUCAUAUCUUACCACAGAAAGACACUAAUGCAACAUAUCCACUGAAUUUUCAUAGAAAGUUUAUCUUGUUCUCACUUCUAAUAUUAGUAGUAAAGUUUAAAAGGAAUUCAUGGUGAAAUUAUUAAUUCUUAUGUUACUUCCAAGUGACAGUGUCUUCCUUUAAGUUUUGGUGGUACUUGCCUUUAAGUUUCGGUAGUACUUUCUUGUCACACGGGACUCAUAUGCGCACAAACCAAACAUACCCAAAAACACAAAAAAUGCACGAUAACUUACGAAAAUGCAAAUAUUAAUGUAGUUGAAAAGCAACUUAACAUGCUACAAACAUUAGCGAAUUAAUGUUUACCCUUUUCAAUUGAGGAAUUCUUCAACAAAAUAAUCUAACUAGACAUAAGAUAUAAUAAAUUACUCCUCCAUACUAGUUUAUGUAAUGCAAUUUGACUAGGCAUGGAGUUUAAGAAAGAAAGAAAGACUUCUGAAACUUGUAGUCUAAACUAAGUAAUAGAUAUUUUUGUGACUAUAUAUCAUCUCAUUAAGGGUAAAAUGGUAGGUUUAAAUUUAAAUUAUUUCUAAAUAUAAUAAGGUAUCAUUCUUUUUGAUACAGACUAAAAAGGAAAGUGCAUCACAUAAAUAGGGACAGACAGGGUUGGUUUUUACAAGCAGUUCCAGAUCUGCCACUUCAUAUUAAGAUAGAUCGAUAAAAUUUACUAAAAGAAUAUCUGCAAAACCUUGUACAUAGGCGUGAUAGCUACUACAUCCAUGACACUUGAAGAGCUAAUUCAACCGAACUCAACCAAGUGAAAAGCAUUUUAACCAAAUUAUCUUACAACUAAAAUUACUAUGCAUACUUUUAGACGUGAGAGAAUAUAGACCUGGCUUAUUACCGAUAAAUAGACUUAACAAUCAUUUGGACAUAUAAGUAUAAGCUUAUAGAAAAGCCAGAGUAACUCAUACAGCAAUAAGGAGGCAUCACUUUCUUAGGAAUCAAUAAUACUUGCGAUUUCGCAUCUC